Homo sapiens (human) is the source of this 365-nucleotide long non-coding RNA. The record is from Ensembl. Lineage: Eukaryota; Metazoa; Chordata; Mammalia; Primates; Hominidae.
UGCCACUGGUUCCUUGCAGCUGUGACUCCCCAGGGUAAGAGGCAAAGAGCCACCAGGUCCCAGCUGAGGAAGCCCUGUGGUCAGCUCAGACAGGGAUGCGGACUGAAGCCGAAGCAGGUGUUAGUAAUUGUCGUACCUACAGACGAGGAAACCGAGCCUCCAUGAAGUGAAGUGACUCACCCACAGUCACACAGCUAAUAUAUGCCAGAGCCCACAGCAGAACCCAGACGUACUGAGGCCAAGUUCCAUGCCAGCAUAAAACAGGGCCUGCUGAAAUGCCUAGCGCUUCAACAAGGUGAGCUCUUGUAGGCCAGGGGCCAAAUGACGGACAUCAUGUGCCACCAACACCACACAGAUGAAGGCGG